Cyprinus carpio (common carp) is the source of this 1144-nucleotide long non-coding RNA. NCBI's taxonomy places the organism in Eukaryota, Metazoa, Chordata, Actinopteri, Cypriniformes, Cyprinidae. The record is from Ensembl.
AGUGCUGUUGAAUCCAGCAUUUACUUCCUGUGAAUUUGAACAACUUAUCUGAGCUCAGCAACGUGAACUGAAUGGACAGAACUGGUGAUCCUUAAUUCAUCAAAACAACAGACUCAUACAGAACUUUUAUCAUGUUCAGAUGCUUGAAUCUUUUGCUGCUGCUGUUAUUUUGCCUUGUAUAUCAUAGUGAAACUACCUUUGUAGGAACAACCCCUGUAUCUGUGACAGGGAAAAAAGGAGACAGUGUCAUCCUGUCAUGUCAAUUUGAGCCCAGUGACAUUUUUCGUAUUGAUUUAUGGAGACAAAAAUCCAUCUUUUCAUGUCAGAAUGAAACUUGUGAGAAUGGGCGAUUUUCAAAAAAAGGAUGUGAUGUCACCAUCAAGAAUCUGAGCUUCAGUGAUGCUGGGAAAUAUACUUUGAAAGUCUUUUACAAUCAUAUUCAGACAGUAUUGAAUCAAAAAAAGGAGAGGAUGUACCAACUUCAAAUUCAAGAUAAUAUUUCUGUGCAGGAAGGUGGGGAGUUGGGUGAUCUGCCCAGUGCUCAUAAAGUUCUGCAUCAGCCCAGCGGAAGCACAAAGUGGAUGGACGUUUGGCCCAAGGAUCAGAGUGAUGUGAACCUUCAUAAUUUUAGGACCAACCACACAGGAACAUACAGAGUUCUGGACUCUGAAGAAAACAUCUUGAUCACAGUGACAGUCACAGAAUCAGGUACAGAAUCAAAGGACAAACAAGACGACACAAAUAAAGACAAAACUGAACCACUUCCUGUUUGGGCUUUGAUUUUGAUUGUGAUUGUGAUUGGUGUGGUGCUGGUUCUGGCUGUGAUUAUAUUUAUUGUCAUCAAGAAACCCCAAUGUCUGAAAAGGGAUGCUGAUACUGUGACCUACCGUAACCCCUCAGAGCAGAUUAAACUGAAUCUGAAUCAACGAAAAGGGAGUGAUGACGGAACAAAGUAUUCCAGCUAGAACACAUGUGGCCCAUUCAUGUGUUUGUCGGACUGUAAACAAACCUGUCUGCUAGUGCUAGUUCACACAGAACAGCUGAAUCCCUCAUAUUCUUCAAGAAAACCUGAAAACUAUCUCUUCUGUGAGCAACUAACUGCCUUCUCAUUAGAAAAAAAAUAAAACAUUAAAUAAAAAAUACA